GACGAACGCUGGCGGCGUGCUUAACACAUGCAAGUCGAACGGAAAGGCCCUGCUUUUGUGGGGUGCUCGAGUGGCGAACGGGCGAGUAACACGUGAGUAACCUGCCCUUGACUUUGGGAUAACUUCAGGAAACUGGGGCUAAUACCGGAUAGGAGCUCCUGCUGCAUGGUGGGGGUUGGAAAGUUUCGGCGGUUGGGGAUGGACUCGCGGCUUAUCAGCUUGUUGGUGGGGUAGUGGCUUACCAAGGCUUUGACGGGUAGCCGGCCUGAGAGGGUGACCGGCCACAUUGGGAUUGAGAUACGGCCCAGUCUCCUACGCGAGGCAGCAGUGGGGAAUAUUGCACAAUGGGCGGAAGCCUGAUGCAGCAACGCCGCGUGCGGGAUGACGGCCUUCGGGUUGUAAACCGCUUUCGCCUGUGACGAAGCGUGAGUGACGGUAAUGGGUAAAGAAGCACCGGCUAACUACGUG
This 468-nucleotide ribosomal RNA is filed under the name uncultured bacterium. Its description in RNAcentral is "partial 16S ribosomal RNA". It matches the Rfam family "Bacterial small subunit ribosomal RNA", at positions 28 to 507 of the family's 1533-position model. The record is from RNAcentral.